This 1319-nucleotide unclassified non-coding RNA is filed under the name uncultured soil eukaryote. Its description in RNAcentral is "sequence contains 18S rRNA gene, ITS1, 5.8S rRNA gene, ITS2, 28S rRNA gene". The stretch from base 391 to 1319 matches the Rfam family "Eukaryotic large subunit ribosomal RNA", at positions 1 to 961 of the family's 3401-position model. The record is from RNAcentral.
GGAAGGAUCAUUCGUAUCUACCAAACAACAACCUCAGCUGGUGUUUAUGAACCUCUUCUUAUUUUUUAUUAUUCAAAUCUUAAUCUUUCAACGAUGGAUGUCUCGGGUCUCUCAACGAAGAAGAGCGCAGCAAAAUGCGAUAAGCAGCAUGACAUGCACUCUACGUGAAUCAUCAGAUUCUUGAACGCAAAUGGCAGUUGUUUGGUUCUCCAACGACUAUGUUUGGUUCAGUGUCAUUUAAAAACAUUCUCAUCUUCGUCAGAAAAUGAGGCGUUUGGUAGGUACAAUCGUAUUUACUUGAAGUUUUGUCAUACAAUUUAACAAUUGUAUUCGGAUAUCCCGCUAUACAACGUUAGAUGGAGUGACAGGAGUUUCUCCACUUUCUGUUUUUGACCUGAAAUCAAGCAAGGCUACCCGCUGAAUUUAAGCAUAUAAUUAAGCGGAGGAAAAGAAACUAACUAGGAUUCCCUUAGUAGUGGCGAACGAAGUGGGAAGUGCCCAAGCCGUAAAUUGCUGGUCUCGUACUUGCAAGAUGAGGUUUGCUGAAUAACCAGUUAGACGUCAGGGUUAAGCCUUGUGGAUGCAAGCGUCAUAGAGGGUGAGGACCCCGUCCUUACUCUGAACGUGCUAGCGUACGGUUUUCAGCUAAUGAGUCGUGUUCCUUGGGAGUGGAGCGCAAAUCGGGUGGUAGCUUUCAUCCAUGGCUAAAUAUUGGAGAGACGCCGAUAGUGAAGAAGUACCGUGAGGGAAAGAUGAAAAGAACCUCGAAAGGGGGAUUAAAAUUACCUGAAACCGUUGAAAGGGAAUGGAUUGGCGAUUUAGUUGCAAUGUGAGGACUGCCUUCAAAUCGGAUUGUUUAUUACGCAAGUGUAGGCGUCCACAUGGGGAGGGUACGUCCGAACAGCAAGCCGGUUGGGCCUCGAGUUGUUGCGGGACUAUAGAUUGUACUAGGACUUGUCUUAGUGUCUUAAGUCUUUGCGCAAUUUUUGGUGAGUAAUGUAACCGUCGUAAAAAUCGUCAAACCACCCGUCUUGAAACACGGACCAAGGAGUCUAACUUACGUGCAAGUCCUAAGGUGGCAAACCUUUGGGCGUAAUGAAAGUGAUAGUUUGGAUCUUUGCACAAACGACCGACUUCCUCUGGAGGUUCGAGUAUGAGCAUGUAGGUUCGGACCCGAAAGAUGGUGAACUAUGCCUGAGUAGGGUGAAGCCAGGGGAAACCCUGGUGGUGGCUCGUAGCGAUACUGACGUGCAAAUCGUUCGUCAAACUUGGGUAUAGGGGCGAAAGACUAAUCGAACCAUCUAGUAGCUGGUUCCCUC